Molecule: ribosomal RNA, 481 nt
Filed under: uncultured bacterium
Lineage: Bacteria
Description: partial 16S ribosomal RNA
Rfam family: Bacterial small subunit ribosomal RNA
Source: RNAcentral
GAUGAACGCUGGCGGCGUGCCUAACACAUGCAAGUCGAACGGAGAUUCCGGACGGAAGUUUUCGGAUGGAAGACUGUAAUUCUUAGUGGCGGACGGGUGAGUAACGCGUGGGCAACCUGCCCUAUACAGGGGGAUAGCAGCUGGAAACGGCUGGUAAGACCGCAUAAGUCGGUUAAAUCGCAUGAUUUGAUCGGGAAAUGAGCAAUCAGGUAUAGGAUGGGCCCGCGUCCGAUUAGCCAGUUGGCAGGGUAAAAGCCUACCAAAGCGACGAUCGGUAGCCGGACUGAGAGGUCGGACGGCCACAUUGGGACUGAGACACGGCCCAAACUCCUACGGGAGGCAGCAGUGGGGGAUAUUGCACAAUGGAGGAAACUCUGAUGCAGCGACGCCGCGUGAGUGAAGAAGUAUUGCGGUAUGUAAAGCUCUAUCAGCAGGGAAGAUGAUGACGGUACCUGACUAAGAAGCCCCGGCUAACUACGUG